This 552-nucleotide ribosomal RNA is filed under the name Klebsiella aerogenes. Its description in RNAcentral is "partial 23S ribosomal RNA". It matches the Rfam family "Bacterial large subunit ribosomal RNA", at positions 1 to 583 of the family's 2925-position model. The record is from RNAcentral. Lineage: Bacteria; Pseudomonadati; Pseudomonadota; Gammaproteobacteria; Enterobacterales; Enterobacteriaceae.
GGGUUGUGAGGUUAAGCGACUAAGCGUACACGGUGGAUGCCCUGGCAGUCAGAGGCGAUGAAGGACGUGCUAAUCUGCGAAAAGCGUCGGUAAGGUGAUAUGAACCGUUACAGCCGGCGAUGUCCGAAUGGGGAAACCCAGUGUGAUUCGUCACACUAUCGUUAACUGAAUACAUAGGUUAACGAGGCGAACCGGGGGAACUGAAACAUCUAAGUACCCCGAGGAAAAGAAAUCAACCGAGAUUCCCCCAGUAGCGGCGAGCGAACGGGGAGCAGCCCAGAGUCUGAAUCAGCUUGUGUGUUAGUGGAACGGUCUGGAAAGUCCGACGGUACAGGGUGAUAGUCCCGUACACCAAAAUGCACAGGUUGUGAACUCGAAGAGUAGGGCGGGACACGUGGUAUCCUGUCUGAAUAUGGGGGGACCAUCCUCCAAGGCUAAAUACUCCUGACUGACCGAUAGUGAACCAGUACCGUGAGGGAAAGGCGAAAAGAACCCCGGCGAGGGGAGUGAAAAAGAACCUGAAACCGUGUACGUACAAGCAGUGGGAGCACC